UCUCCGUAGGUGAACCUGCGGAGGGAUCAUUACAAGUGACCCCGGUCUUACCACCGGGAUGUUCAUAACCCUUUGUUGUCCGACUCUGUUGCCUCCGGGGCGACCCUGCCUUCGGGCGGGGGCUCCGGGUGUACACUUCAAACUCUUGCGUAACUUUGCAGUCUGAGUAAACUUAAUUAAUAAAUUAAAACUUUUAACAACGGAUCUCUUGGUUCUG
This 217-nucleotide unclassified non-coding RNA is filed under the name plant metagenome. RNAcentral's name for it is "partial contains small subunit ribosomal RNA, internal transcribed spacer 1, and 5.8S ribosomal RNA". The record is from RNAcentral.